GUCCCUUCGGGAACAUCCGAUGAAAUUGGAACGAUACAGAGAAGAUUAGCAUGGCCCCUGCGCAAGGAUGACACGCACAAAAAAAACAGGUGACAGACCAUGUU
RNAcentral lists this small nuclear RNA (104 nucleotides) under Triticum aestivum (bread wheat). The record is from RNAcentral. Lineage: Eukaryota; Viridiplantae; Streptophyta; Magnoliopsida; Poales; Poaceae.